CCAGAAUUGGGCUCAGAUGGUAAAGCAUCUGCCUGCAAUGCAGGAGACCUGGGUUCGAUCCCUGGGUCAGGA
This 72-nucleotide transfer RNA is filed under the name Ovis aries (sheep). It matches the Rfam family "tRNA". From Rfam's summary of the family: Transfer RNA (tRNA) molecules are approximately 80 nucleotides in length. Their secondary structure includes four short double-helical elements and three loops (D, anti-codon, and T loops). Further hydrogen bonds mediate the characteristic L-shaped molecular structure. tRNAs have two regions of fundamental functional importance: the anti-codon, which is responsible for specific mRNA codon recognition, and the 3' end, to which the tRNAs corresponding amino acid is attached (by aminoacyl-tRNA synthetases). tRNAs cope with the degeneracy of the genetic code in two manners: having more than one tRNA (with a specific anti-codon) for a particular amino acid; and 'wobble' base-pairing, i.e. permitting non-standard base-pairing at the 3rd anti-codon position. Lineage: Eukaryota; Metazoa; Chordata; Mammalia; Artiodactyla; Bovidae. The record is from Rfam by way of RNAcentral.